Molecule: ribosomal RNA, 232 nt
Filed under: uncultured bacterium
Lineage: Bacteria
Description: partial 16S ribosomal RNA
Rfam family: Bacterial small subunit ribosomal RNA
Source: RNAcentral
UGAGUAACCUGCCCUGGACUUUGGGAUAACCCUCGGAAACGGGGGCUAAUACCGGAUAUGACAUGCUCUCGCAUGGGGGUGUGUGGAAAGUUUUUCGGUCUGGGAUGGGCUCGCGGCCUAUCAGCUUGUUGGUGGGGUGAUAGCCUACCAAGGCGACGACGGGUAGCCGGCCUGAGAGGGCGACCGGCCACACGUGGGACUGAGACACGGCCCAGACUCCGUACGGGAGGCA